AUUGAACGCUGGCGGCAUGCCUUACACAUGCAAGUCGAACGGCAGCGCGGACUUCGGUCUGGCGGCGAGUGGCGAACGGGUGAGUAAUGUAUCGGAACGUGCCCUAGAGUGGGGGAUAACGUAGCGAAAGUUACGCUAAUACCGCAUACGAUCUACGGAUGAAAGUGGGGGACCGCAAGGCCUCACGCUCAUGGAGCGGCCGAUAUCUGAUUAGCUAGUUGGUAGGGUAAAAGCCUACCAAGGCGACGAUCAGUAGCUGGUCUGAGAGGACGACCAGCCACACUGGGACUGAGACACGGCCCAGACUCCUACGGGAGGCAGCAGUGGGGAAUUUUGGACAAUGGGGGAAACCCUGAUCCAGCAAUGCCGCGUGUGUGAAGAAGGCCUUCGGGUUGUAAAGCACUUUUGUCAGGAACGAAACGGUGGGGGCUAAUAUCCUCUGCUAAUGACGGUACCUGAAGAAUAAGCACCGGCUAACUACGUGCCAGCAGCCGCGGUAAUACGUAGGGUGCGAGCGUUAAUCGGAAUUACUGGGCGUAAAGCGUGCGCAGGCGGUUGUGCAAGACAGAUGUGAAAUCCCCGGGCUUAACCUGGGAAUUGCAUUUGUGACUGCACGGCUAGAGUGUGUCAGAGGGGGGUAGAAUUCCACGUGUAGCAGUGAAAUGCGUAGAUAUGUGGAGGAAUACCGAUGGCGAAGGCAGCCCCCUGGGAUAACAC
Molecule: ribosomal RNA, 717 nt
Filed under: uncultured bacterium
Lineage: Bacteria
Description: bacterial SSU rRNA
Rfam family: Bacterial small subunit ribosomal RNA
Source: RNAcentral